UACGAAGGGUGCAAGCGUUACUCGGAAUUACUGGGCGUAAAGCGUGCGUAGGUGGUUCGUCAAGUCUGAUGUGAAAGCCCUGGGCUCAACCUGGGAAUGGCAUUGGAAACUGGCGACCUAGAGUGCGGUAGAGGGUAGUGGAAUUCCCGGUGUAGCAGUGAAAUGCGUAGAGAUCGGGAGGAACAUCUGUGGCGAAGGCGACUGCCUGGACCAGCACUGACACUGAGGCACGAAAGCGUGGGGAGCAAACAGG
This 253-nucleotide ribosomal RNA is filed under the name uncultured bacterium. Its description in RNAcentral is "partial 16S ribosomal RNA". It matches the Rfam family "Bacterial small subunit ribosomal RNA", at positions 524 to 776 of the family's 1533-position model. The record is from RNAcentral.